This 554-nucleotide long non-coding RNA is filed under the name Homo sapiens (human). RNAcentral describes it as "non-protein coding lnc-TFB1M-3:1". Lineage: Eukaryota; Metazoa; Chordata; Mammalia; Primates; Hominidae. The record is from RNAcentral.
CAUUCCUCUAUGAUUCCAGGCUGGCAGUGGACGGGCCCUUUGGAACUGCCCUGACAGAUCAAGGUACGGAAAAAUCAUUAGUUCACCCUUCCAUGGAUUAAAAGGUUCAAUGUCCUUAUAUCUAUCAUCUGCCGAUUCUUGGGGAGGAUUUUAAUUAACUAUGAGGGAUAAACUCAAGGAUCCUUAACUAUACUUAUGUUCUUAAAAAUCUCCACUCAGUAUUACAUUUAUGAGUAGGGUUAUGUCUAAUCUUGUUAAAGAUGACAAGACAUAAAUUUUAUUGCUUCAUUGCCAUUACAGGACAUGUAAUUGCUCAUCUCAGUAAAAUAUGGACAGGCUGCAAAUGGCUAUGUGACUGGGUGGCAGUUCGCAAUAUUAAGAGGCAACCUCUCCUUAGUCUCUUUAGCUUCAGACUGUGGUUGCAAGUGUACAAUUCGAUGUCCUCCUCUCGUGGACUCAGUCCUAACAAGAAGCCACAAUUGGGAUUUAUUGGCCGGCUUGCUGUGGGGUGGCCAUCCCGCUCUGAAUCUCCCUUUUGUCAUUUCCUGUAUGUU